AAUACCUAGCGGCGGACGGGUGGAGUAACGCGUGGGAACAUACCCUUUGGUACGGAAUAGCCUCGGGAAACUGGGAGUAAUACCGUAUGUGUCCUUUUUCUGUAGUGGGGAGGGGAGAAAGAUUUAUCGCCAAAGGAUUGGCCCGCGUUGGAUUAGGUAGUUGGUGGGGUAAUGGCCUACCAAGCCGACGAUCCAUAGCUGGUUUGAGAGGAUGAUCAGCCACACUGGGACUGAGACACGGCCCAG
Molecule: ribosomal RNA, 246 nt
Filed under: uncultured bacterium
Lineage: Bacteria
Description: partial 16S ribosomal RNA
Rfam family: Bacterial small subunit ribosomal RNA
Source: RNAcentral